RNAcentral lists this transfer RNA (81 nucleotides) under Caballeronia arationis. RNAcentral's name for it is "tRNA-Arg". Lineage: Bacteria; Pseudomonadati; Pseudomonadota; Betaproteobacteria; Burkholderiales; Burkholderiaceae. The record is from RNAcentral.
CGCGGCGCGCGUGACGGCGUCGCGGUUCGCGCUGCGGAUGCGGGCUACGAGGCGUCGGUGCGAAUCCGCCGCGCGGUGCCC